GAUGAACGCUGGCGGCGUGCCUAAUACAUGCAAGUCGAGCGAACAGACGAGGAGCUUGCUCCUCUGACGUUAGCGGCGGACGGGUGAGUAACACGUGGAUAACCUACCUAUAAGACUGGGAUAACUUCGGGAAACCGGAGCUAAUACCGGAUAAUAUAUUGAACCGCAUGGUUCAAUAGUGAAAGACGGUUUUGCUGUCACUUAUAGAUGGAUCCGCGCCGCAUGAGCUAGUUGGUAAGGUAACGGCUUACCAAGGCAACGAUGCGUAGCCGACCUGAGAGGGUGAUCGGCCACACUGGAACUGAGACACGGUCCAGACUCCUACGGGAGGCAGCAGUAGGGAAUCUUCCGCAAUGGGCGAAAGCCUGACGGAGCAACGCCGCGUGAGUGAUGAAGGUCUUCGGAUCGUAAAACUCUGUUAUUAGGGAAGAACAAAUGUGCAAGUAACUAUGCACGUCUUGACGGUACCUAAUCAGAAAGCCACGGCUAACUACGUG
This 497-nucleotide ribosomal RNA is filed under the name uncultured bacterium. RNAcentral's name for it is "partial 16S ribosomal RNA". It matches the Rfam family "Bacterial small subunit ribosomal RNA", at positions 28 to 507 of the family's 1533-position model. The record is from RNAcentral.